AUGGUCAUUGAUGAGCCUAAAGUUUCUCAUACGAGUUUAACGACCAUGAGAUCACUACAUGCACUACCAUCUGAGACCAA
Molecule: small nucleolar RNA, 80 nt
Organism: Bufo bufo (common toad)
Lineage: Eukaryota; Metazoa; Chordata; Amphibia; Anura; Bufonidae
Source: RefSeq, a predicted model, not a curated record